ACUACUACUAGCCCACUAAUCCCUCAACUUCAAAAACCACAUACUACAAAGUAAAACAUUUAUCCAAAACUAAAAGUAUAGGAGAUAGAAAUUUAACACUGGAGCUAUAGAGAUAGUACCGUAAGGGAAAGAUGAAAGAAACAAUUAAAGUAUAAAAAAGCAAAGACUAAAACUUAUACCUUUUGCAUAAUGAUUUAACCAGAAACUAUUUGACAAAAAGAAUUUUAGCCAAACCCCCCGAAACCAGACGAGCUACUUAUGAGCAGCCAACUAGGGCCUAUCCGUCUAUGUAGCAAAAUAGUGGAGAGACUUGUAAGUAGAGGUGAAAAACCUAACGAGCCUGGUGAUAGCUGGUUGUCUGGAUCAGAAUCUUAGUUCUACUUUAAACUUACCCAAAGCACAAAUCAAGCCCAAUGUAAGUUUAAAUGUUAGUCUAAAGAGGGACAGCUCUUUAGAAAUAGGAGACAACCUUAUUUAGAGAGUAAAAUAUCAAACCCCCAUAGUUGGCUUAAAAGCAGCCACCAAUUAAAAAAGCGUUAAAGCUUAACCCAAAGUAUCCCAACUCAAUCCCCUACCCUAAAUUAACCUCCUAAGACCAAACCAGACUAAUCUAUUUAUAUGAAUAGAAGCAACAAUGUUAAUAUAAGUAACAAGAACACUAUUUCUCCCCUGCAUAAACUUAUAUCAGACCGAAUAAAUCACUGAUAGUUAGUCAACAUCAUAACCCCAAACACAUUACAAAGAAGUUAUUAUCAACACUGUUAACCCAACACUGGUGUGCACAACCAAGGGAAAGAUUGAAAGAAGUAAAAGGAACUCGGCAAGCACUAACCCCGCCUGUUUACCAAAAACAUCACCUCUAGCAUUAAUAGUAUUAGAGGCAUUGCCUGCCCAGUGACACAUGUUCAACGGCCGCGGUAUCCUGACCGUGCAAAGGUAGCAUAAUCACUUGUUCCCUAAUUAGGGACUUGCAUGAACGGCCUGACGAGGGUUCAACUGUCUCUUACUUUCAAUCAGUGAAAUUGACCUUCCCGUGAAGAGGCGGGAAUAUUCUAAUAAGACGAGAAGACCCUAUGGAGCUUAAAUUUUAUAGUCUAGCACUCCUAAUCUACACCUACAGGAUCAAAACCUAUGCCCACAGACUAAAAAUUUUGGUUGGGGUGACCUCGGAGAACAAAACAACCUCCGAAUGAUUAUAAUCGAGACAAACCCGUCCAAAUUUAUAUUCAUUAAUUGACCCAAAACUUUUUUGAUCAACGGAACAAGUUACCCUAGGGAUAACAGCGCAAUCCUACUCAAGAGUCCAUAUCGACAGUUAGGGUUUACGACCUCGAUGUUGGAUCAGGACUUCCAAAUGGUGUAACCGCUAUUAAUGGUUCGUUUGUUCAACGAUUAAAGUCCUACGUGAUCUGAGUUCAGACCGGAGAAAUCCAGGUCGGUUUCUAUCUAUUACUAUAUUUCUCCCAGUACGAAAGGACAAGAGAAAUAGGGCCCAUCCCUCACCUAUGCCCUAGGUUAAUAGAUGAAAUAAUCUAAAUCUAGUAACCCAUUACUUACCCCGCCCUAGAAUAGGGCUU
This 1577-nucleotide ribosomal RNA is filed under the name Sciurotamias davidianus (Pere David's rock squirrel). RNAcentral describes it as "16S ribosomal RNA". It matches the Rfam family "Bacterial large subunit ribosomal RNA". The record is from RNAcentral. Lineage: Eukaryota; Metazoa; Chordata; Mammalia; Rodentia; Sciuridae.